CAGCCGUCCUCCGAUAUCGUGGCAUUCCUUAAAGGCUUGGACAUUGAUGUGCCAGACGAUUUUCCGUUCCCUGCCACUGCUCCGCCAGCGCUACCCAUGCUCCCCACCGAAAGCAACGCCAUGUGAACCAGAAAGACUGAACCAGAUGUCGCGGAGCAUGGACCGCCAUCGGAGCCUACACCAGGCCACACGCAAGUUAAUUGUGACUGGGUUCUGAACUUUGUUUAAUCUUACACUUAGGCCACACGCAAGUUAAUUGUGACUGGGUUCUGAACUUUGUUUAAUCUUACACUGCUGGUUACCUAGGAACUCGGGAC
Pelobates cultripes (western spadefoot toad) is the source of this 317-nucleotide non-coding RNA. The record is from the annotation of a GenBank genome assembly. NCBI's taxonomy places the organism in Eukaryota, Metazoa, Chordata, Amphibia, Anura, Pelobatidae.